AUCCGGAGGAGAGUCCCCACGGGAGGUAUAACAUAAACUACUUGCAUCUUCAUGCUCUUAGUCUGUCGGGAGCCAUCAACCCCCCCACUUUCAACAACGGAUCUCUUGGUUCUCGCAUCGAUGAAGAACGCAGCGAAAUGCGAUAAGUAGUGUGAAUUGCAGAAUUCAGUGAAUCAUCGAAUCUUUGAACGCACAUUGCGCCUCCUGGUAUUCCGGGAGGCAUGCCUGUUCGAGCGUCAUUAAAAACCAUCAAGCACUCUUGCUUGGACUUGGGAGAUGAGUGCCUACGGUUCUCACUGCCGAAAUUGAAUGGCGGAUAGCCUUGGGGUGCCCCAGCGUAGUAAGUCUUCUUUCGCUUGGAACCCGAGACGGUCCCGCCCUCAACCCCCACAUUUCUAUGGUUGACCUCGGAUCAGGUAGGGAUACCCGCUGAACUUAAGCAUAUCAAUAAGCGGAGGAA
Molecule: ribosomal RNA, 460 nt
Filed under: uncultured organism
Description: eukaryotic LSU rRNA
Rfam family: 5.8S ribosomal RNA (bases 86-239)
Source: RNAcentral